This 497-nucleotide ribosomal RNA is filed under the name uncultured bacterium. RNAcentral's name for it is "partial 16S ribosomal RNA". It matches the Rfam family "Bacterial small subunit ribosomal RNA", at positions 28 to 507 of the family's 1533-position model. The record is from RNAcentral.
GAUGAACGCUGGCGGCGUGCCUAAUACAUGCAAGUCGAGCGAAUAGACGAGGAGCUCGCUCCUCUGACGUUAGCGGCGGACGGGUGAGUAACACGUGGAUAACCUACCUAUAAAACUGGGAUAACUUCGGGAAACCGGAGCUAAUACCGGAUAAUAUAUUGAACCGCAUGGUUCAAUAGUAAAAGACGGUUUUUCUUUCACUUAUAGAUGGAUCCGCUCCGCAUUAGCUAGUUGGUAAGGUAACGGCUUACCAAGGCGACGAUGCGUAGCCGACCUGAGAGGGUGAUCGGCCACACUGGAACUGAGACACGGUCCAGACUCCUACGGGAGGCAGCAGUAGGGAAUCUUCCGCAAUGGGCGAAAGCCUGACGGAGCAACGCCGCGUGAGUGAUGAAGGUCUUCGGAUCGUAAAACUCUGUUAUUAGGGAAGAACAAAUGUGUAAGUAACUAUGCACGUCUUGACGGUACCUAAUCAGAAAGCCACGGCUAACUACGUG